RNAcentral lists this small RNA (565 nucleotides) under Pongo abelii (Sumatran orangutan). RNAcentral describes it as "retained intron". The record is from RNAcentral. Lineage: Eukaryota; Metazoa; Chordata; Mammalia; Primates; Hominidae.
AGACCAUCCAAGAAGACAGUGCAGCCACCUCUGAGAGCCUGGAUGUGAUGGCGUCACAGAAGAGACCCUCCCAGAGGCACGGAUCCAAGUACCUGGCCACAGCAAGUACCAUGGACCAUGCCAGGCAUGGCUUCCUCCCAAGGCACAGAGACACGGGCAUCCUUGACUCCAUUGGGCGCUUCUUUGGCGGUGACAGGGGUGCGCCCAAGCGGGGCUCUGGCAAGGACUCACACCAUGCAGCAAGAACUGCUCACUACGGCUCCCUGCCCCAGAAGUCACACGGCCGGACCCAAGAUGAAAACCCCGUAGUCCACUUCUUCAAGAACAUUGUGACACCUCGCACACCACCCCCGUCGCAGGGAAAGGGGAGAGGACUGUCCCUGAGCAGAUUUAGCUGGGGGGCCGAAGGCCAGAGACCAGGAUUUGGCUACGGAGGCAGAGCGUCCGACUAUAAAUCGGCUCACAAGGGAUUCAAGGGAGUCGAUGCCCAGGGCACGCUUUCCAAAAUUUUUAAGCUGGUAAGGUACCCUCUGCUCAGCUCCACUGAGCGGGGACUAAAAGGUCC